RNAcentral lists this long non-coding RNA (358 nucleotides) under Gallus gallus (chicken). Lineage: Eukaryota; Metazoa; Chordata; Aves; Galliformes; Phasianidae. The record is from RNAcentral.
GUUGGAAGAUGCUGCACAUCAGCUGCUAAUCUGUGAAGGAAGGGUUCCCAGGGCAUCCACACCUCGGAGCUAGAAACAAACACACAUGUAUUUAUUUACACUGCGAUAGUCUCCAAAGGCUCCAUUCAGCCCUGUGGUUAAAGCAAACAUCCAAUGAGAAACGUAAGUCCAGAGUUCAAGCGGCAGCGAUCAAUGCGCUGAGUUCAUAUGCCGGCAAACGCCAGCAUGUGGGUACCCACAAAACAGAGAAGUGCUCUCCGGACUCCAGCAGCACUGCAAGGUAUAAUUGCUUCCUCCAUUAAAUUGCAUGGUAUUUGAUGUAUGGAAAUGUAUUUCCCCUUGCAUAGGAUUUCUACCC